AGGGAAUCUUCCACAAUGGACGAAAGUCUGAUGGAGCAACGCCGCGUGAGUGAUGAAGGUUUUCGGAUCGUAAAACUCUGUUGUAAGGGAAGAACCAGUACGUCAGGCAAUGGACGUACCUUGACGGUACCUUAUUAGAAAGCCACGGCUAACUACGUGCCAGCAGCCGCGGUAAUACGUAGGUGGCAAGCGUUGUCCGGAAUUAUUGGGCGUAAAGCGCGCGCAGGUGGUUUCUUAAGUCUGAUGUGAAAGCCCACGGCUUAACCGUGGAGGGUCAUUGGAAACUGGGAGACUUGAGUGCAGAAGAGGAAAGUGGAAUUCCAAGUGUAGCGGUGAAAUGCGUAGAGAUUUGGAGGAACACCAGUGGCGAAGGCGACUUUCUGGUCUGCAACUGACGCUGAGGCGCGAAAGCAUGGGGAGCAAACA
RNAcentral lists this ribosomal RNA (426 nucleotides) under uncultured Rummeliibacillus sp. Its description in RNAcentral is "bacterial SSU rRNA". It matches the Rfam family "Bacterial small subunit ribosomal RNA", at positions 356 to 774 of the family's 1533-position model. Lineage: Bacteria; Bacillati; Bacillota; Bacilli; Caryophanales; Caryophanaceae. The record is from RNAcentral.